This 415-nucleotide ribosomal RNA is filed under the name uncultured bacterium. RNAcentral describes it as "bacterial SSU rRNA". It matches the Rfam family "Bacterial small subunit ribosomal RNA", at positions 362 to 774 of the family's 1533-position model. The record is from RNAcentral.
UAUUGGGCAAUGCCCGCAAGGGUGACCCAGCAACGCCGCGUGGAGGAUGAAUGUCGUAAGAUUGUAAACUCCUGUUAGAGGGGAAGAAUAGUACCGGUUGGACCGGUAUAUGACUGUACCCUCAGAGAAAGCCCCGGCUAACUACGUGCCAGCAGCCGCGGUAAUACGUAGGGGGCAAGCGUUGUCCGGAUUUACUGGGUGUAAAGGGCGCGCAGGCGGGAUAAAAAGUCAGUGGUGACAUCCUACAGCUUAACUGUAGAACUGCCUUUGAUACUUUUAUUCUUGAGUUCGGGAGAGAGAGACGGAAUUCCAGGUGUAGUGGUGAAAUACGUAGAUAUCUGGAAGAACACCAGUUGCGAAGGCGGUCUCUUGGUCCGACACUGACGCUGAGGCGCGAAAGCGUGGGGAGCAAACA